Molecule: transfer RNA, 75 nt
Filed under: Candidatus Altarchaeales archaeon
Lineage: Archaea; Nanobdellati; Candidatus Altarchaeota; Candidatus Altarchaeia; Candidatus Altarchaeales
Also listed under: 1 other name
Description: tRNA-Ile
Rfam family: tRNA
About the family: Transfer RNA (tRNA) molecules are approximately 80 nucleotides in length. Their secondary structure includes four short double-helical elements and three loops (D, anti-codon, and T loops). Further hydrogen bonds mediate the characteristic L-shaped molecular structure. tRNAs have two regions of fundamental functional importance: the anti-codon, which is responsible for specific mRNA codon recognition, and the 3' end, to which the tRNAs corresponding amino acid is attached (by aminoacyl-tRNA synthetases). tRNAs cope with the degeneracy of the genetic code in two manners: having more than one tRNA (with a specific anti-codon) for a particular amino acid; and 'wobble' base-pairing, i.e. permitting non-standard base-pairing at the 3rd anti-codon position.
Source: RNAcentral
GGGCCCGUGGCUCAGUUUGGUUAGAGCGUUCGACUGAUAAUCGAAAGGUCCGGAGUUCAAAUCUCCGCGGGCCCA